RNAcentral lists this long non-coding RNA (1012 nucleotides) under Equus caballus (horse). RNAcentral describes it as "lncRNA (ENSECAG00000053970.1)". The record is from RNAcentral. Lineage: Eukaryota; Metazoa; Chordata; Mammalia; Perissodactyla; Equidae.
AAAACACUAUCAGUCUCAAAAAGGGUGAUCUUCAGUCUUACUCUUUUGUUGGGUACAAUUUUUUCUGCUCUAGGCAUUAAGCUGUGGGCUGCGCUUCGUCACCUAAUCCACCCCACCACAGUCCCCCGCAGGGUCCCCAAAUCCAAUGUCUACAGUGGACAGGCAGACCAUAAAAUGAGUGAAACAAGCUGGAAGGAGUGUUCCUUGAAACUCAUCUUAGGAGACCCUGCUUUGGUAGACAAGGACAUUACCCUCAGCUCUACGUACUUCAAAAGGGAAUAUGUUAUCUGCUGAAAAGAAUUCCAAAGAAGACAGACGACGUGCUUUUCAACAUCCCUAGCCUUCAACAGAUACACAGGAAUUACCCAUAUAUCUGAUAUCAGGCAACAAUAACAACUUGGACACACGAUUAAUAAAAUCCAUUUAUUGGCCUCUUUUUGAUGUUAGACAGCCUAUGGGGCAAAGAGAGAGAAAUUUAAACUUGUGUCUCUUUGCUCAACUUAUCGUGUCAAUUCCAGUCACUAAGCGAGUCUCUUACAGGGAUGUCAAACAGGUUUUUUCUCUCAUGACAACUGCGAUCAAUGGUUAGUGGCUGCCUGGAGCUCUGUGUUGAAGAUGAUUAUAAGACCUUCAACGGGUUUGGAGGGGAAAUAUGCUGUGAUUGAUUCUUAAUGUCUGUUGUGAGUGCAGUGCUGGGAUUGAUUGUUGAGGUCUGUUGUGGGUGCAGAAUAGCAGAAGGCAUAAAAUGCUUGUUGUGUGUUUCCUCAGCAAAAACCAGUCUUCUUACAAACUAACCAUGUUGUUUUGGUUGGCAAAUUAAGACUUAAUACACUUAAGUGCCAAAAUGAGUGGUUAAGACGAGUCUAUAGAGUCAGAAAAAAGGGCUUCCUUCAGGUCUUAAGGUCAAGAUAAAUUGCAUGCAAGAACUGAGUUGGAGCUUGGAGGGUGGGAAGGUGGGGUCUUUUGAGGAGACCCCAGAAGAAAUUCUCAGGAGAGACUGCUAAUGAGCUGC